Molecule: ribosomal RNA, 3013 nt
Filed under: Salmonella enterica
Lineage: Bacteria; Pseudomonadati; Pseudomonadota; Gammaproteobacteria; Enterobacterales; Enterobacteriaceae
Also listed under: 1 other name
Description: 23S ribosomal RNA
Rfam family: Bacterial large subunit ribosomal RNA
Source: RNAcentral
GGGUUGUGAGGUUAAGCGACUAAGCGUACACGGUGGAUGCCCUGGCAGUCAGAGGCGAUGAAGGGCGUGCUAAUCUGCGAUAAGCGCCGGUAAGGUGAUAUGAACCGUUAUAACCGGCGAUACCCGAAUGGGGAAACCCAGUGUGAUUCGUCACACUAUCAUUAACUGAAUCCAUAGGUUAAUGAGGCGAACCGGGGGAACUGAAACAUCUAAGUACCCCGAGGAAAAGAAAUCAACCGAGAUUCCCCCAGUAGCGGCGAGCGAACGGGGAGGAGCCCAGAGCCUGAAUCAGCAUGUGUGUUAGUGGAAGCGUCUGGAAAGGCGCGCGAUACAGGGUGACAGCCCCGUACACAAAAGCGCAUGUGCUGUGAGCUCGAUGAGUAGGGCGGGACACGUGGUAUCCUGUCUGAAUAUGGGGGGACCAUCCUCCAAGGCUAAAUACUCCUGACUGACCGAUAGUGAACCAGUACCGUGAGGGAAAGGCGAAAAGAACCCCGGCGAGGGGAGUGAAAAAGAACCUGAAACCGUGUACGUACAAGCAGUGGGAGCACAGGUUUACCUGUGUGACUGCGUACCUUUUGUAUAAUGGGUCAGCGACUUAUAUUCUGUAGCAAGGUUAACCGUAUAGGGGAGCCGGAGGGAAACCGAGUCUUAAUUGGGCGUUAAGUUGCAGGGUAUAGACCCGAAACCCGGUGAUCUAGCCAUGGGCAGGUUGAAGGUUGGGUAACACUAACUGGAGGACCGAACCGACUAAUGUUGAAAAAUUAGCGGAUGACCUGUGGCUGGGGGUGAAAGGCCAAUCAAACCGGGAGAUAGCUGGUUCUCCCCGAAAGCUAUUUAGGUAGCGCCUCGUGAAUUCAUCUCCGGGGGUAGAGCACUGUUUCGGCUAGGGGGCCAUCCCGGCUUACCAACCCGAUGCAAACUGCGAAUACCGGAGAAUGUUAUCACGGGAGACACACGGCGGGUGCUAACGUCCGUCGUGAAGAGGGAAACAACCCAGACCGCCAGCUAAGGUCCCAAAGUCAUGGUUAAGUGGGAAACGAUGUGGGAAGGCCCAGACAGCCAGGAUGUUGGCUUAGAAGCAGCCAUCAUUUAAAGAAAGCGUAAUAGCUCACUGGUCGAGUCGGCCUGCGCGGAAGAUGUAACGGGGCUAAACCAUGCACCGAAGCUGCGGCAGCGAACGUAUCACCCAAGACAACUUUACGGAGUUGACGAUUGACGGAGCGAAGCGACGUCAAAGCGUUCAUUAAAGUCGAGUUGGCUUAGGGAUACGUUCGUUGGGUAGGGGAGCGUUCUGUAAGCCUGUGAAGGUGUGUCGUGAGGCAUGCUGGAGGUAUCAGAAGUGCGAAUGCUGACAUAAGUAACGAUAAAGCGGGUGAAAAGCCCGCUCGCCGGAAGACCAAGGGUUCCUGUCCAACGUUAAUCGGGGCAGGGUGAGUCGACCCCUAAGGCGAGGCCGAAAGGCGUAGUCGAUGGGAAACGGGUUAAUAUUCCCGUACUUGGUGUUACUGCGAAGGGGGGACGGAGAAGGCUAUGUUGGCCGGGCGACGGUUGUCCCGGUUUAAGCGUGUAGGUGUGUGUUCCAGGUAAAUCCGGUUCACUUUAACACUGAGGCGUGACGACGAGGCACUACGGUGCUGAAGCAACAAAUGCCCUGCUUCCAGGAAAAGCCUCUAAGCAUCAGGUAACACGAAAUCGUACCCCAAACCGACACAGGUGGUCAGGUAGAGAAUACCAAGGCGCUUGAGAGAACUCGGGUGAAGGAACUAGGCAAAAUGGUGCCGUAACUUCGGGAGAAGGCACGCUGACACGUAGGUGAAGUGAUUUACUCAUGGAGCUGAAGUCAGUCGAAGAUACCAGCUGGCUGCAACUGUUUAUUAAAAACACAGCACUGUGCAAACACGAAAGUGGACGUAUACGGUGUGACGCCUGCCCGGUGCCGGAAGGUUAAUUGAUGGGGUCAGCGUAAGCGAAGCUCCUGAUCGAAGCCCCGGUAAACGGCGGCCGUAACUAUAACGGUCCUAAGGUAGCGAAAUUCCUUGUCGGGUAAGUUCCGACCUGCACGAAUGGCGUAAUGAUGGCCAGGCUGUCUCCACCCGAGACUCAGUGAAAUUGAACUCGCUGUGAAGAUGCAGUGUACCCGCGGCAAGACGGAAAGACCCCGUGAACCUUUACUAUAGCUUGACACUGAACAUUGAGCCUUGAUGUGUAGGAUAGGUGGGAGGCUUUGAAGUGUGGACGCCAGUCUGCAUGGAGCCGACCUUGAAAUACCACCCUUUAAUGUUUGAUGUUCUAACGUGGACCCGUAAUCCGGGUUGCGGACAGUGUCUGGUGGGUAGUUUGACUGGGGCGGUCUCCUCCUAAAGAGUAACGGAGGAGCACGAAGGUUGGCUAAUCCUGGUCGGACAUCAGGAGGUUAGUGCAAUGGCAUAAGCCAGCUUGACUGCGAGCGUGACGGCGCGAGCAGGUGCGAAAGCAGGUCAUAGUGAUCCGGUGGUUCUGAAUGGAAGGGCCAUCGCUCAACGGAUAAAAGGUACUCCGGGGAUAACAGGCUGAUACCGCCCAAGAGUUCAUAUCGACGGCGGUGUUUGGCACCUCGAUGUCGGCUCAUCACAUCCUGGGGCUGAAGUAGGUCCCAAGGGUAUGGCUGUUCGCCAUUUAAAGUGGUACGCGAGCUGGGUUUAGAACGUCGUGAGACAGUUCGGUCCCUAUCUGCCGUGGGCGCUGGAGAACUGAGGGGGGCUGCUCCUAGUACGAGAGGACCGGAGUGGACGCAUCACUGGUGUUCGGGUUGUCAUGCCAAUGGCACUGCCCGGUAGCUAAAUGCGGAAGAGAUAAGUGCUGAAAGCAUCUAAGCACGAAACUUGCCCCGAGAUGAGUUCUCCCUGAGACUUAGAGUCUCCUGAAGGAACGUUGAAGACGACGACGUUGAUAGGCCGGGUGUGUAAGCGCAGCGAUGCGUUGAGCUAACCGGUACUAAUGAACCGUGAGGCUUAACCUUACAACGCCGAAG